RNAcentral lists this ribosomal RNA (482 nucleotides) under Fusarium oxysporum. RNAcentral describes it as "eukaryotic LSU rRNA". The stretch from base 117 to 270 matches the Rfam family "5.8S ribosomal RNA". The record is from RNAcentral. Lineage: Eukaryota; Fungi; Ascomycota; Sordariomycetes; Hypocreales; Nectriaceae.
UACCUUAUGUUGCCUCGGCGGAUCAGCCCGCGCCCCGUAAAAAGGGACGGCCCGCCGCAGGAACCCUAAACUCUGUUUUUAGUGGAACUUCUGAGUAUAAAAAACAAAUAAAUCAAAACUUUCAACAACGGAUCUCUUGGUUCUGGCAUCGAUGAAGAACGCAGCAAAAUGCGAUAAGUAAUGUGAAUUGCAGAAUUCAGUGAAUCAUCGAAUCUUUGAACGCACAUUGCGCCCGCCAGUAUUCUGGCGGGCAUGCCUGUUCGAGCGUCAUUUCAACCCUCAAGCCCAGCUUGGUGUUGGGAGCUGCAGUCCUGCUGCACUCCCCAAAUACAUUGGCGGUCACGUCGAGCUUCCAUAGCGUAGUAAUUUACACAUCGUUACUGGUAAUCGUCGCGGCCACGCCGUUAAACCCCAACUUCUGAAUGUUGACCUCGGAUCAGGUAGGAAUACCCGCUGAACUUAAGCAUAUCAAUAAGCGGAGG